CUACGGGGCGCAGCAGGCGCGAAAACUUCACACUGCGGGAAACUGUGAUGAGGGGACUCCAAGUGGCUACACAACGUGUAGUCUUUUACUCACUCUUAAUCGGUGGGUGAAUAAGGGCUGGGAAAGACCGGUGCCAGCCGCCGCGGUAAUACCGGCAGCUCAAGUGGUCGCCACUUUUAUUGGGCCUAAAACGUUCGUAGCCGGUUCGGUCAACCCGUGGGUAAAUCAUCCCGCUCAACGGGAUGAAUUCUGCGGAGACUGCCGAACUUGGGACCGGGGAGAGGUGUGAGGUACUCUCAGGGUAGGGGUAAAAUCCUGUCAUCCUGAGGGGACCACCUGUUGCGAAGGCGUCACACUAGAACGGCUCCGACGGUCAGGAACGAAGCCUGGGGGCACAAACCGGAUUAGAUACCCUUGUAGUC
This 422-nucleotide ribosomal RNA is filed under the name uncultured archaeon. Its description in RNAcentral is "partial 16S ribosomal RNA". It matches the Rfam family "Archaeal small subunit ribosomal RNA", at positions 323 to 746 of the family's 1478-position model. The record is from RNAcentral.